Molecule: long non-coding RNA, 792 nt
Organism: Hevea brasiliensis (rubber tree)
Lineage: Eukaryota; Viridiplantae; Streptophyta; Magnoliopsida; Malpighiales; Euphorbiaceae
Exons: 2
Source: RefSeq, a predicted model, not a curated record
ACCGAAAUAUAAAAUCGCAUCACGAGCGGCGAUUGAAAACCGGUGUGAUACGAAGUUACAACAAAAAAGAAUUGUGGUGGCCGUCGGGAUCCGGCGAGGCUCGUCGGAUUUUGCCCAUUUUAGUUCUAAGCUGUACAGUCUGCUCUCUUAUCUGAGAGAUAUUGAGGGAACUGUCUACGUCUAAAGGGAAAAAAAUGAAGGGAACAUGCACUCUCGUAGCUUCCGUGCUCGCCGCGUCCACCGUGGCUUUAUCCUCCUCCUCUACAGCAGAUCGCGACGUCGCUUUUUAUCCUUCAUCCAAUGAGGGCUCAACUUCUACAAUGGGGAAACGUGUCUCACUGAAUGCUUAUGAAACUUCAGAUAAGGGGAAAUUCGCGCCAAGAUUUGAUGGGUUGAGGUUCAUAGAGACUCUGGUCACGGCUCAUAGAUGACCUGACAAAGCUCAUAAUCUUUUUGUUUUCUUUGUUGUCAUUUGUUGAUGUUGAGGCAAAACCCCAUUGGUUUAUAAGAUGUGAUUAAAAGAGAGCUGUUGUUGCUUAUUUUUCUUUUGAGUUUAGAAGAACUUGUGUUAUUGAUUUGUGUCAUUUUCAUAGAUUUAGGUUUUUUUUUUUUUUCAAAAUAGUUUUAGCAUUUGCUAUUGAUAUUUGGUGGUGUAACCGUAAACUCCAAAGCUUGGGCGUUACAGAAUUUUCUUAAAAUCCUCUUGGGUUUUGGAGUGGGAUCUUACUUCGUCACUUUAUUGAAUUAGCUUAAACAGUUUGCUUAAUUAUUGAAAAGAUAUGGUUUAUUUGC